AUGGCGAGCAGGACGGUGGAUGUCACCCUUGUCUCCGCGAGGGAUCUCAGGGACGUCAACCUCGUCUCCAAGAUGGAGGUCUACGCGAUCGUCUACAUCGCCGGCGACCCCAUCUCCCGGGAGCGGGUCCUCGCCGACCGCACCGGCGGCCGCAACCCCACCUGGAACGCCACUGUCCGCGUCACGGUCCCAGCCUCCGGCUCCGGCAGCGGCGCUCUGCGCGUGCUCCUCCGCACAGAGCGCCCCCUCGGCGACCGUGACGUGGGCGAGGUGAUCCUCCCGCUUACCGAGAUCCUAGCCGGCGCCGGCGACGAGCCAACUGGCGCCACGCAAGGCGCCUACAAGGUGCGCAAGGUCGGCUCUAGCAAGGUUCACGGCGUGCUCAACCUCUCCUAUAAGCUCGGAGGAGUCAUCCACCCACCCGCCGGCCAGUACCAGCAGGUGGGAGCGACGGGGUACCUGGCGGCAGCCGCUGCGCCGUACGCGUCUGCUCCGCCGCCGGAGCAGCUCAGCUACCCGUACCCGUGCCCACCCCCGACAAUGGUUCGGCCGCUGCGCAUCAGCAGCCGGUAA
RNAcentral lists this ribosomal RNA (573 nucleotides) under Triticum aestivum (bread wheat). RNAcentral describes it as "partial small subunit ribosomal RNA". Lineage: Eukaryota; Viridiplantae; Streptophyta; Magnoliopsida; Poales; Poaceae. The record is from RNAcentral.